UACGAAGGGGGCUAGCGUUGCUCGGAAUUACUGGCGUAAAGCGCACGUAGGCGGCUUGUUAAGUCAGGGGUGAAAUCCUGGGAGCUCAACUCCAGAACUGCCUUUGAUACUGGCGAGCUUGAGUUCGGGAGAGGUGAGUGGAACUGCGAGUGUAGAGGUGAAAUUCGUAGAUAUUCGCAAGAACACCAGUGGCGAAGGCGGCUCACUGGCCCGAUACUGACGCUGAGGUGCGAAAGCGUGGGGAGCAAACAGG
Molecule: ribosomal RNA, 253 nt
Filed under: uncultured bacterium
Lineage: Bacteria
Description: partial 16S ribosomal RNA
Rfam family: Bacterial small subunit ribosomal RNA
Source: RNAcentral